RNAcentral lists this long non-coding RNA (821 nucleotides) under Gallus gallus (chicken). RNAcentral describes it as "lncRNA (ENSGALG00010017456.1)". The record is from RNAcentral. Lineage: Eukaryota; Metazoa; Chordata; Aves; Galliformes; Phasianidae.
CCUCGCGUGUGCGGCCGGCCCCGCGGCCGCAGCCGCCGGAGCGCGCCCGCGGGGAGGGGCCGGCGGCGGGGCCCAUGGGGACCCGUUAGCAGCGGGGAGCGGCCUCCCGGUGCCCGCCGCCUUCCCCGGUACAGGGGCAGCGCUGGCUGCCGCCGGGACGGAGCGGCAGCGGGAGGGCGGGGGGUGCCGGGGCCUCCCUUGUGAUUUUUUUUUUUUAAUUGUAUUUUUUAUUUUUGUUCCUCCUUUCUUCUCUCUCUCCUGGCCCUUCCCGGACUGCGAGAGAUUAUUUUAUGCCUACCUCAUCUUCUUGGAAAGAGGAAGACAAAUGGAACUACGUGAUUCUGUAAACGCCUAGAGAUCAUUCUGGUGUUGUAGGAACACAGUGAUACAGAAUUGUAGGGGUUCUCUGAAGGGCCCUCUGAAGAUCAGCUACUCCAACCCCCCUGUUGACACAGGUUCUCUGGAGUAGAUUGCACAGGAAAGCGUCCAGCUGGUGAGCCUGUCUGCUUCUGGGCCUGAAUGCUGCCAAGGAUAUUCUUACACUACCUGCCUGCCACAAGGUAGGCAAAAUAGGGAGGGAACUGUGGCUGUGUGUAAGCAGACUGUGUGAGAUGAAGCCAUGUGAGAUCCAGGAGAAUGGACUUAAUGUUAGAAGAGACUGUAAAAUAAAUAUAAGUGGAGAGCCUGAGAUUUUUCUGUCUGCAAUUUUGUGCAGAAACACUUAAAGCACAAGAAAUGAGUCUUGGCUCAUUCUACAGCUCAAUUUAUUUACUGGCAAUGGUUUAUUUACUGACAUUGAUUCAAAUAAAAUUAUAUUUCAG